GUCUAUGGCCAUGCUACCCUGAACAAGCCCGAUCCCAUCUGAUCUCGGAAACUAAGCAGGGUCGGGCCUGGUUAGUACUUGGAUGGGAAACCACCUAAGAAGACUAUGUGCUGUAGGUA
RNAcentral lists this ribosomal RNA (119 nucleotides) under Pteropus alecto (black flying fox). The record is from RNAcentral. Lineage: Eukaryota; Metazoa; Chordata; Mammalia; Chiroptera; Pteropodidae.